GAUGAACGCUGGCGGCGUGCCUAAUACAUGCAAGUCGAGCGAACAGAUAAGGAGCUUGCUCCUUUGACGUUAGCGGCGGACGGGUGAGUAACACGUGGAUAACCUACCUAUAAGACUGGGAUAACUUCGGGAAACCGGAGCUAAUACCGGAUAACAUAUUGAACCGCAUGGUUCAAUAGUGAAAGGCGGCUUUGCUGUCACUUAUAGAUGGAUCCGCGCCGUAUUAGCUAGUUGGUAAGGUAACGGCUUACCAAGGCAACGAUACGUAGCCGACCUGAGAGGGUGAUCGGCCACACUGGAACUGAGACACGGUCCAGACUCCUACGGGAGGCAGCAGUAGGGAAUCUUCCGCAAUGGGCGAAAGCCUGACGGAGCAACGCCGCGUGAGUGAUGAAGGUCUUCGGAUCGUAAAACUCUGUUAUCAGGGAAGAACAAAUGUGUGAGUAACUGUGCACAUCUUGACGGUACCUGAUCAGAAAGCCACGGCUAACUACGUG
This 497-nucleotide ribosomal RNA is filed under the name uncultured bacterium. RNAcentral describes it as "partial 16S ribosomal RNA". It matches the Rfam family "Bacterial small subunit ribosomal RNA", at positions 28 to 507 of the family's 1533-position model. The record is from RNAcentral.